This 251-nucleotide ribosomal RNA is filed under the name uncultured prokaryote. RNAcentral's name for it is "partial 16S rRNA". It matches the Rfam family "Bacterial small subunit ribosomal RNA", at positions 525 to 775 of the family's 1533-position model. The record is from RNAcentral.
ACGGAGGGUGCAAGCGUUGUUCGGAAUUAUUGGGCGUAAAGGGCGCGUAGGCGGUAAUGUAAGUCAGAUGUGAAAUACUUCGGCUCAACUGAAGAACUGCAUCUGAAACUGCAUAACUAGAGUACAGAAGAGGGAAACGGAAUUCCCGGUGUAGAGGUGCAAGUCGUAGAGAUCGGGAGGAAAAGCAGUGGCGAAGGCGGUUACCUGGUCUGAAGCUGGCGCUGAGGCAAGGAAAUGUGUGUAGCAAACAG